AAAAAAAAAAAAAACAACACAACAAGUCGGCCUCAAAGCUACAGCAAGAAGAUGAAAAAUAUUUAAAGGUUUGAUCCGGCAGGAGAGUUUAAAGCAUUGCGGGGUUUUAUAGCGCCCCUGACGUCACACGGGACACGGGCUCGGGGCUGGGCCAAUGGGCGCCCGCCGCCCGGGCUCAUUAGCAUAGGAGUAUAGCGACAGGGAAACUUUCCGGGCUGUCAGUCAGGGCUCAGCUGACUGUCAGCGCCCGCUUAACCCCCUCCUGGCCGCCGGGGCCGCGCCUGGGCACGGCUCGGCACGGGACGGGGCACCCGCCGGGCCGCUCCUCCCGCGCCGCACCGGGCGAGCGCCCUGCCCCGGGGCGGAGUGCCCGGGAGCUGCCCCUGCCCGCCCGCACCGGCACCCGAGGGCGCGGGGGAGCUCCGGCCGGCCGGGAGGAGGGAGGAAGGGGGAGCGCCGGGCGCGGCGGCCCAAGGGGAACCCGGCAGCGCCCGGGGGGGAGCGGGCGGCGCGGGGGCAGAGCGGGUUCCGCCGUGCCCGGCGCCGGUACCUGCGAGCGGGCGGGCGGCCCUUCCCCCGUGCCGGCCGCGGGCCAUCGCUCCGCUCCCCCGCAGCGCCCCGCGCACUUAUUGAUUAUUUCGGUAGGGGGACGGGGCAUCGAUCCCUCCGUUCCCCUCCCCAGCCCGCCCGGAGGUGCGAGAGCCCCGCAAGUUUGCAAGACCCGCGCCGCUCCCCCCCACACCUCUCCCGGCGCCGCACUCGGCUUGCCUGCCCGGGCUAAUUAAUUUAAUACAUUUAGAACUAAUUGUAUUUACUUUCGUCUCCUCAUCACCCCCCACCUCACCCCCUCCCUCCUGUCCCCCUUUCCCCUCCGGGAGGGGGCUGGGGCCGGGCCGGGGGCCGUGGAGCGGCAGCGGCUGGAGAGGAGCGGAGCGGCUUCGGUUCGAACCUCGACAGCGCCAUCUCUCGUCCACAGUGUCUUAUUUUAUGGUGCAGAACUAAACAGUGUCCGCUGAAUUUAACUACGAAACCAGCCAAAUUGAUUUCAGAAAGACUUCUUCGGAGUAGCAGAGUGAUAAGGCAUAAACUGCUCCUAGGUGCAGUGCUAGAUAAAUCCUUUUAACAGUCUUCAGAUCAGUUAACAGGGUAAGUAAAUCACAUAUCACUGUUAGCAGAUUUAUGGGAGAGAAUUAAUAGAAUCAGACGAGAUAAUCUGGUAGGGAUAAAAUUGCUGAGGAAACAGUCCUGCCUUAUAUUGGAGGGUAUGAAACAACAGUCUGAUUACUGGGAGUCGUUAUGGAUUGGUGAAUUAUGAGCUAAAUCAUCAUAAGAGUAAUUCAGUAUUUAUUAAUUCUUUUCUCUUUAAACAACUCACAGACGCAAAUAAAAGCCUCUCUCUCUUUGAAGACACAUUCUUUAUAUAUUUUUAUUGGAUGUAAUUUACUAUUUGCAUUACCUGUAUUUACUUCAUAAUUGAACAUUUUGCAUUCAAAUUUAUGUAAUGCAUAAUGCUUGAGAAUAUAUUUCUCCCUUAUUAGCAUAAAUAGUCACUUACCUCAUGAAUUACUAACAAAGUUUAUCUGAAAAUAUAAGUAUAUUUUUUAUUAAGUGGAACACAAACAUAUGUACAAUAAAUUCUGAUUUGCCAGUAGUUGUUGCAGAAACACAGAACAACCCCGUAUCUGAGAAGAGGGAAAAGAAGCAGCAGUGAAGAAGCAGAAUCAAUUACUCUGUGUGUAUAUGUGACAAUAAUUUCUUCUGUCAAUGUUUUGUUUAUUUUUAAUAAAGGGUGAGUGACUCAAACGUUUGCUUUAGAAGGAGCAGAUGAAGAAAGGCUCUCCACAGUGAAUUUUGUCUUUCUUCCCCCCGGUAUUUUCCGAUGGACUUUUCUCACUGGUGCUGUGCCACUGCAGCCUUUGCUCUGGUGUUGCUCCUGCUGACCCGCUGCAUGCCAUGAAUGGAUGCUGCUCUACACUCACUUUCUCAUACAUUUCCCUUUUUCACUUAAUCCUAUUUUUAUGCUUGGUUUUACAUCCAAAUAAUCAAUAUAAUUUAGGCCCAUUCUGCAGUACUAACACAGCCUUGCUUAUUCAGAGAAAACCCCAACCCUAUUGACUUCAAAAACAGUGGGAUUGAAUCCUUGAUCCCAUUGAAACCAAUGACAAAACUUGUAUUGAUUUCAGUGGAAGCAGGAUCAGGUCCUUGAUGUUAGCAAUUUGUUCAUGUCAGAGGGCUGAUCCUACAAGAAAUGAAAGCAAGCAUAGAUCUGCUGGCAGGAAAUCAGGUCCGCUCCCCAAAAUUCAGAGGCAAAAUUCCCAGGAAACCUGUGGUGGGUCUCCUUUACGCUCGAGGUUUAUCAUCGUGGUAUGGCGUGGUAGGACGCCUGUGUAAUUUUGUCUGGACGCAUAAAGCUGGUCCUCCUGGGAGCAUUGAAAUGAGCACAUCUAUAAAUGUAGCACAGCAAAAUGAGCUACUUUUGCCACUCUCGCUUUUCGCGAGCCCGGUACAAUCCAUUUCUGUGACGACAGUUUUCUGCCCCAUACGCAUCCAAUACUGCUCUUUUAUUUUAAGGCUGAGAAAAUCUUCCCUUUAAACUCACGCUGAGCAUCAAAUUGGACUCCACUUGCAGCUGAACAUCUUGGCUGUCUCUUCCUUUCCUCCAUCAGCUCCAGUAUAUUUUAUGUAGAAUUCUCUCUGUUAAUGAAACUUGCUUCCCCUCUCUGUUCACUUUCCAGUUUUGUAUUAGUGUUACCGAAUCCGCCAGACUUGCUGCAUUUCAAAACUGUGUAAAAGGGGAGAAAAAAAAUUGUUUUAUUUUCCUAUACAGUCUCCUAUUUGACCAUUCUGCACAGACCCUGAAUAUGCAACCUAUUUUCAUUUGUCUGUACAGUUUCUACUGCUAUAUUAGAAAAAAAGUAGCUUGAAAAGUCAGGCUUAAACACACAUCUUGGUUGCUUUUGUGUUGAAUCCAAGAGGGCUUGUGUUUUAGCUCUAGAAAUUGUGAGGUUUUAGCAGCUGCUUCGAUUUUAUUCCCCUGGAAGUGCCUGACAGUCACUAUGUGGAAGACGCAGCAUCGAUGCUACACCUGAGUGCGUGAGUUUGCUCUGUCUGCCCUGAGUCCUAAUGAAGUGACGGCUUUUUAGCAGUCAGAAUAUUUUCAUUGCUCUCUUAUAACGUUCAUAAAUUGCUAGAAAUACUCCAAAUAACUUUGUAUGAUCCAGAAGCAGUUUCUCUACCUCGAGGGAAGACAGCACAGAGGUGCGACUGAAAAGCUGCAAGUGACUCUUAAGACGUGGCUGAAGGUUGGUGUCACCAGAUUUGCACUGUGCUUGUUUCAUGAUGCAUGUCCUAGUUUACUAAUUGUCAUGAACAGCUUUUGCCCAAAUGUAAAAAUCAAUGAAGACAUUUUUGAUGCUAUAAACCCUAUUUAUUUAAAAGAAAUAAAAACUGAAAUGGCAAUAAAGAUUUUUAUCAAGCUU
Long non-coding RNA from Pipra filicauda (Wire-tailed manakin), 3479 nucleotides. RefSeq lists it as uncharacterized. The transcript is spliced from 2 exons. NCBI's taxonomy places the organism in Eukaryota, Metazoa, Chordata, Aves, Passeriformes, Pipridae. The record is from RefSeq and is a predicted model, not a curated record.